GAUGAACGCUGGCGGCGUGCCUAAUACAUGCAAGUCGAGCGACCGGAUGGGGAGCUUGUUCUUUUGAGGUUGGCGGGGGGCGGGUGAGUGACGCGUGGAUAGGCUACCUAUUAGUCUCGGAUAAUUACGGGCAACCGGCGCCAAUACCAGGUAAUAUGAUGAACGGCAGAGUUCAAUAGAGCAAGAGGGCUUUGCUGUCCCGUAUAGAUGGAUCCGCGCCGAAUUAGCUAGUUGGUAAGGUAACGGCUUACCAAGGCAACGAUGCGUAGCCGACCUGAGAGGGUGAUCGGCCACACUGGAACUGAGACACGGUCCAGACUCCUACGGGAGGCAGCAGUAGGGAAUCUUCCGCAAUGGGCGAAAGCCUGACGGAGCCACGCCGCGUGAGUGAUGAAGGUCUUCGGAUCGUAAAACUCUGUUAUUAGGGAAGAACAAAUGUAUAAGUAACUAUCCACGUCUUGACGGUACCUAAUGAGAAAGCCACGGCUAACUACGUG
Molecule: ribosomal RNA, 497 nt
Filed under: uncultured bacterium
Lineage: Bacteria
Description: partial 16S ribosomal RNA
Rfam family: Bacterial small subunit ribosomal RNA
Source: RNAcentral